This 1771-nucleotide long non-coding RNA is filed under the name Malus domestica (apple). Its description in RNAcentral is "long non-coding RNA (MDOM_LNC002516)". The record is from RNAcentral. Lineage: Eukaryota; Viridiplantae; Streptophyta; Magnoliopsida; Rosales; Rosaceae.
UAGGAGAGUAAUAUUCAUCCAUCUCAUUCGCAUAUAUUUUCAUUUGAAAGAAUUAUUACUGUCUAAUUAUUAUUUAAUUGGUACUUUUUGUUGUGAAGUAAUAUGUGCAUUAUUGUUAUUCCGUAUUCGAUAUAUGUUGUGUAAGAUUUUGUUAUAUGAUAUAUGGUGUAAUCGUUAUAAUUUUAUUUUAUUUUCUAUCAUAUCUUGGAUGUAGAAUUUAUUUCUAUAGUUAAGAUAUAGUUUACACUCUUAACUCAUAAAUAGUUUUUAUUCGCGGGUCAGGAAGUGACAUGAUAAGAUAGCAACACUAAGGAUGUUAAGAAAUUGGUAGUAGAAUAAGUGAUUCAACUCCUUAUAUGUCUUUUAAGGUUGCUUAACUUUUUGAUUGGGAUAAUUCUUGAGAAUGUGAAGAAUUAUUGCACAUCAGGCUUUAGAUAAUUAGGGGCGGGUCACUUUAUUUUUUUCACAAAACUUUUGACAUACGUUUUUUCACAGCCUACUUUAUAAUGUAUUUAACGAUCUAAAUCGUAUAUCUUUUUGAACCGUCUAUGAUAUGAUUUUUUAGGGGUUCUUUUGCUCGUCAGCGGUUUCUUUUGCAUUUUACAAAAAAUUGUCUAUAACUUUAAAAAAAUAUUAUGUUUAUUCAAAUUCUUAUUCCGUCAGCCAAUACUAUCACCUAAAAAAAACUUAAAUCUUGUUUGUUUCUGAAUGAGGCUCAAUGCUUGCAUGUUUGUAAUACAUACUUUUUAAAUGACAUGUUCUUCGUUCGUAUUUUCCUUUGUUUUAAGUCAAGUUAAGAAAAAACUUUUGAAACUAUGAACUUAUUUUUUACUGAAAAUAUGACUUUAGUCCUUGGAAUUCAAUUUUCUUCACAUAAAACCCAACGUAAAUUUUUUGCUCAAAUAAAACUCAUUAACUAGACUCCAUAUAAGCAAAUUCAUUAAUUAUGUUUGACUUUACCCAUUUAAAAUUUUUUGGAUGCCUAAAACACCCUUAUUGAAUGUUUAAUGUACACAAUUAAUUCUAUGCAAAUUGUAAAGGAGAAUUAAUGAUUUUACAAAAAUAAUAUUUUGCAUAUAAAUGUAGGGAUUUGUUGGUUAGUUUGGCUCUCGAAUUCCAAUUUACCAUUACAACAUGUCCAUAUUAUAUAUAGGUAAUUAUUGUACUUUAAAAUAUAUAAAAAAAUUGUUGUCAAAGUAAAAAUAUAUAAAUUAAAGGAGAUAAAAAUUGCAGGUAAAUUAAUUUUAGGACAAAGAAAAAGAAAAGAACCAACUAUAGGUAAAUUAUUUACAUAUACAGUCUAGAUAUUUGAUUCACAUAAAAAAUGUACGUAAAUCACGUGUGCAUAAUUUACCUACCAUUAUUGAAAUUUACCUACUUGCAUAAUUUACCCACUAUUAUAUUAAUUUACCUACUUGUAUAAUUUAGGAAAAAUGCCAACAAAACAUGAGAAUAUUAUUUGCAUAUAUCAUAGGUAAAUUGCUUAAAGAAAUAUGAGAAUAUUUUGUUUAUAUAUUGUAGGUAAAUUACAAUAUAUAGGGCGAUAUUAUUUAUAUUAAAGUAGAGAUGUUUAACUAUUAUAUAUAAGGAGAAUAAUUACACCGAAUAAUAAUGUAGUCCUUAUUUAAAGUAAUGCACUGGAUUGUUGUAGAAAUUAAAAAUAAAUAAAUAGAAAAAACGUCAGGAUGAUUAAUUAGAUUUUAAGGCCCUUGAUUGAAGCUAAUUCUCAAGUGUGGGUUGUGGCAAAAAUUGUAAAUAAUUUGUAUUAGUA